GGACAGAAAAAAGGGAAAUAUUGAUUGUGUGACAUUUUCCCAGAAAGUACAUCUUCAGAAUGAUCUGUACAUAUGUUUUUUCCUUUAAACUCAGGUCAAAGAAAUGAGGAAGUUAAAUGCUGUGGAAAGUCUAUUGUUAACUCCAGCCAAAAUAAGUGGAUAAUAUUUUUAGUUUUACUGCUCUGGGAUAUUUAAGGAAGAUAAAUAGGUUUUAUAAUGAGACUACAGUGCACAGAAUGUUUGGCUAUUAUAAACUGGACUUCUGGAGAAGCCGUGAGCAAUGAUUUAGGAAGGUCAUAAAAUGGGAAAGCAAAAAACAAAAACAAAAACACUGGUAAGUCAGCAUCCAAGAAAUGAUUCAGGCCUGCGUCACGACGGUUUAGUUAUCUAGGACUGCACAGCAAAGUGCCCCAACAUGAUGGCCUACCACAGCAACCGCGGUGCUGAGGGUCGGGAACUGGGGACGGCCCGACCGGGGCUGCCCGUCUAAGACGCGUGGUUCCCCCACUGCCUGCUCCUGUCCCCUGCGGUUCUCUACAGCACCUGUCUGCAGCGCCGUGGACCGCCGUGAGCUUCUUCCACUAGUGAAGGGACGGCACCACGCCCCCGCAUGACGUCAUCACGCCCCCACGCACGACGUCAUCACGCCCCCACGCAUGACGUCAUCACGCCCCCCGCGCAUGACGUCAUCACGCCCCGCAUGACGUCAUCACGCCCGACGGCGCUGCCUGGAAGUCUAUCAGGGAAUAAACUCCCUCACCAAAAAGCAAGACCCAGCCCCACCCACUUGGAGAAAACGACACACUGCUAAUAAAGUGGACUCGGAACAAGCAUGAGAAAUCAUGACAUGAGGACGAGGAAUGAAUGGUGCUGAAGGAAGUGGUGAACAACUGUGUAGCAGUGUUUCUGGGACAUACCCCUCGCACUCCAGGACCUUUCCCAUAGGCCACACGGUAACAUCUAAUUAAGAUGUUAGCUCCUCUCUCCUCCCUGUGUCCAUUCUUAUCAAUUCUUCCCAAAGUCUCCCAUUUCCUGCAAGGUCGACAGAAGUAAUGCGGGCCACGGAGAUGCAGAGAGCAUUUUAGGAAUGUGAGGGAGGAGAAUGCAGUGAAGGAAGAAAGACCUUAGCAGCGUUGUCUCUAACAUGCUUUAAAAACAGGGAAUCUGGGCAGAGGAACGUGGGGGCUGGGGGACACUUGGAGGCCAACUGGGCACAGAGAGACCCUGGGGGGUGAGGCAGGAGCGCCCGCAGGGGGUGCAGGGUGCCCAAGGCAGCCGGUCUGAAUUCCCAAGCGCAGAAUUCUCAACCACCCAGGAGUCUUCCAAUUCUCAAAAACCUCCCAGAACAAAUCAGAUCGAAUUCACUGGAGUUAGAAACAUGUUUGCGGUCAUGGCCUGACUAGGAAUCUGAGGCUGGGGUUACUAUUGCAGAGCUCCCCGAAAUCUCAGCACCCUCCGAGCAGCAGUGGGGAAGGGGGGGGCAUGUCUAGGAGGCGGGGGGGCCCUCGGGGAGUCAUUUUCUCCAUUUAGCUGGGUAUGGGCUCUGAGCACAGCUCGGAGUCUUCUGAGAGCCCGGUCCCUGAUCUCCACCUUCUGCAGAGUUGAACCCAGGUGGCUUUAUGGAGCCCCCGAGGGCCCUGCAAACACUCAGCAAAUGGCCUCUUGUUGAAUUUAGUAAGGCCUUCGAGUACUGAAGAGAAGACCUCUGGCCUCAACUUCGGGCUUCACGUUGGGGUCUCCACCAGGCAGGGAAGGGAUUGCACAACUCUAGCAGCAAACGGGCCGGCACUCAGCGUCUGCCAGGUGCAUCCUGUUCCCCAAGCAUAUUCCACUCCAUCCUCACAGCAAUGCCACGAGGUGGGUGCUCAUGUUUCAUGGGCGAGAAACCGAGGCUCAGAUGGCUGACAGGACUGGCCCGCCGCUGUGGGGCUGACUCACGGGGAGCUGGGAUUCGGCCGGACCGUCUGACCCCAGACCUGAGUCCUCAAGGAACCGCUCUGCUGACCUGGGCCCUAUGGAAGGGGGGCGGGGCAGAUGCUUGUUGAGUAACUCUGCUCUACCCCAACUGAUGGUUCUGGAUUGUUUAAGAACAAUCCACGUUUCAAGCAAAUUGUUAUUCCUUGUAACGUGGCCAAGUUUGACAAUGAUUCCUUAAUUUUAAAAAACAUGUAAGUUAGCACAGAUUCCAGACUUUGUCUCUAAUGUUGCGACUCUUACUCCGAAACAUUUUUAGGAGAGAGAAAGAUGGAAGGAGGAGAAGCAGCUGGUGGGCCUGAAGUUAUACCUACAGGAUCGUCUUGUGGGUUUUGCCAGAAAAAGUAUGGGAAAUCUGUGCCAGGAAGUGUCUGGGUUCCACCUUCUUUCUUUCAGCCUACCCUCCUGGUGGGGGGCUGGGGGCGGGGGCGCAGUGUUAUCGUAAAGAUAAGAAAACUAGGCUCAGGCAGAUACGGGACUAGUGUUGCGGGUAGAACUGUGUCAUUCAAAAAGAUAAGUUCAAGUCCUGACCCCUGGUACCUGUGAAUGUGACUUUCCUUGGGCCUAGAGUUUUUGCAAAUAUAAUCAAAUUAAGAGGAGGUCAUGAGGGUGGGCCUAAUCCAAUCACGUGUGUCUUUAUAAGAAUAGGGGAAAUUGGACACGUCAGGAGAGCCCCAUAUGAUGAGGCACAGACUGGAGGGAUGUGCCUACAAAAAUUCUUUGCAACCAGGGAAGCCAAGAGGCAAGAAAAGAUCUUGCUCUAGAUCCUUCUGAGCGAGCAUAGCCCUCUGAUACCUCAAUUUUGGACUUCUAGCCACCAGAACUGAGAGAAAAUAAACUCUUGUUUUGGCCACCCGGUUUGUAGAAACUUGUCAUGGCAGCCACGGGAAAUGGAUACACCAAGUUUUCACCUUGCUUCUGCUGUGUCCUUGAGCAAUUCCGUGUUAGGUUUGCGGGGGAUGCUGAAGAGGGCUGGGCUGCUGCCUGCAUCCAGCUGGAGCCAAAUGCUGCAUGGUCUUGAGAACCAGAGGAGGGACUGAAGUUUGGGGCCGCACAUAGUGGGGAGCUUGCAAAGCAUAAGCGCUGGCAGAAGCACAAGAGCGAGAUGAGAGUGUUCAGAAUAUUUGUGCUUCAUCAAGGGAUCAAUGAGGGUGAAGGAACGGCCUUUCCCUGUUACACCAGCCGUGCUCCCCG
Molecule: long non-coding RNA, 3168 nt
Organism: Mirounga angustirostris (Northern elephant seal)
Lineage: Eukaryota; Metazoa; Chordata; Mammalia; Carnivora; Phocidae
Exons: 3
Source: RefSeq, a predicted model, not a curated record